This 608-nucleotide ribosomal RNA is filed under the name uncultured freshwater bacterium. RNAcentral describes it as "bacterial SSU rRNA". It matches the Rfam family "Bacterial small subunit ribosomal RNA", at positions 8 to 607 of the family's 1533-position model. The record is from RNAcentral.
AGAGUUUGAUCCUGGCUCAGGAUGAACGCUAGCGGCAGGCUUAAUACAUGCAAGUCGAGGGGUAGCAUGAUUGUAGCAAUACAAUUGAUGACGACCGGCAAACGGGUGCGGAACACGUACACAACCUUCCUACAAGUGGGGAAUAGCCCAGAGAAAUUUGGAUUAAUACCCCGUAACAUAGCGAUGUGGCAUCACAUUGCUAUUAUAGCUUCGGCGCUUGUUGAUGGGUGUGCGGCUGAUUAGAUAGUUGGCGGGGUAACGGCCCACCAAGUCUACGAUCAGUAGCUGAUGUGAGAGCAUGAUCAGCCACACGGGCACUGGGACACGGGCCCGACUCCUACGGGAGGCAGCAGUAAGGAAUAUUGGACAAUGGACGCAAGUCUGAUCCAGCCAUGCCGCGUGAAGGAUUAAGGUCCUCUGGAUUGUAAACUUCUUUUAUAAGGGACGAAAAAAGGUCUUUCUAGAUCGUCUGACGGUACCUUAUGAAUAAGCACCGGCUAACUCCGUGCCAGCAGCCGCGGUAAUACGGAGGGUGCAAGCGUUAUCCGGAUUCACUGNGUUUAAAGGGUGCGUAGGCGGGCAGGUAAGUCAGUGGUGAAAUCCUAGAG